GUCAAGUUGCCAGAGUGGUUAAUGGGUAUGACUCGAAAUCAUAUGACUUCGGUCGCACAGGUUCAAAUCCUGUACUUGACG
RNAcentral lists this transfer RNA (81 nucleotides) under Blumeria hordei DH14. RNAcentral's name for it is "tRNA-Ser (CGA) (tRNA-Ser-CGA-3-1, tRNA-Ser-CGA-3-2)". It matches the Rfam family "tRNA". Rfam says of the family: Transfer RNA (tRNA) molecules are approximately 80 nucleotides in length. Their secondary structure includes four short double-helical elements and three loops (D, anti-codon, and T loops). Further hydrogen bonds mediate the characteristic L-shaped molecular structure. tRNAs have two regions of fundamental functional importance: the anti-codon, which is responsible for specific mRNA codon recognition, and the 3' end, to which the tRNAs corresponding amino acid is attached (by aminoacyl-tRNA synthetases). tRNAs cope with the degeneracy of the genetic code in two manners: having more than one tRNA (with a specific anti-codon) for a particular amino acid; and 'wobble' base-pairing, i.e. permitting non-standard base-pairing at the 3rd anti-codon position. RNAcentral also lists the same sequence under 3 other names. Lineage: Eukaryota; Fungi; Ascomycota; Leotiomycetes; Helotiales; Erysiphaceae. The record is from RNAcentral.